AUAGGGGAGCCGAAGGGAAACCGAGUCUUAACUGGGCGUUAAGUUGCAGGGUAUAGACCCGAAACCCGGUGAUCUAGCCAUGGGCAGGUUGAAGGUUGGGUAACACUAACUGGAGGACCGAACCGACUAAUGUUGAAAAAUUAGCGGAUGACUUGUGGCUGGGGGUGAAAGGCCAAUCAAACCGGGAGAUAGCUGGUUCUCCCCGAAAGCUAUUUAGGUAGCGCCUCGUGAACUCAUCUUCGGGGGUAGAGCACUGUUUCGGCUAGGGGGUCAUCCCGACUUACCAACCCGAUGCAAACUGCGAAUACCGAAGAAUGUUAUCACGGGAGACACACGGCGGGUGCUAACGUCCGUCGUGAAGAGGGAAACAACCCAGACCGCCAGCUAAGGUCCCAAAGUCACAGUUAAGUGGGAAACGAUGUGGGAAGGCUCAGACAGCCAGGAUGUUGGCUUAGAAGCAGCCAUCAUUUAAAGAAAGCGUAAUAGCUCACUGGUCGAGUCGGCCUGCGCGGAAGAUGUAACGGGGCUAAACUGUGCACCGAAGCUGCGGCAGCGACGCUUAUGCGUUGUUGGGUAGGGGAGCGUUCUGUAAGCCUGCGAAGGUGUCCUGUGAGGGAUGCUGGAGGUAUCAGAAGUGCGAAUGCUGACAUAAGUAACGAUAAUGCGGGUGAAAAGCCCGCUCGCCGGAAGACC
This 693-nucleotide ribosomal RNA is filed under the name Salmonella enterica subsp. enterica serovar Kentucky. Its description in RNAcentral is "partial 23S ribosomal RNA". It matches the Rfam family "Bacterial large subunit ribosomal RNA", at positions 657 to 1346 of the family's 2925-position model. Lineage: Bacteria; Pseudomonadati; Pseudomonadota; Gammaproteobacteria; Enterobacterales; Enterobacteriaceae. The record is from RNAcentral.